AGGUACUUGCAAGAUCAAGAUCACAUUUGAGAAAACAACUGUGAAGACAUCGGGAAACUUAGCGCAGAUUCCUCCGUUUGAGAUCCCGAGGCUUCCCGAUAGUUUCAGGCCACCGUCUAACCCUGGAACUGGAGAUUUUGAAGUCACCUAUGUUGAUGAGAACAUGCGCAUAACUCGUGGGGAUAGAGGUGAACUUAGGGUCUUUGUCAUUGCUUAAGUCAAAAGGAGGUUUGACAUGUAAAGAUCAAGUACUUUCUGCUUGUUGCAGCAGCCUUAUGACCCCUAUGAGUUUUGUACACAUCGUUUGAACGUUGAUUAUAGAUGUAUUUUAUAAUGAAGUGAAUGUCAGUCGCUCGAUCUCCUCCUCGCCGGUGCUCAUCGCUACCCCCAGAUCGUCUCGUUUGAGCUUCACAAUACCUGAGAGGAGAAGCCUCGUCGUGAACUCAACCGUCGGCGAGGUGUCCUUUCGCGAACCGGAGACAUCGGGAGAUAAGGAGGGAAUCGAAUCGCUGAAACUCAAAUUACUGGUGAGUCAAAGAAGACGUAAUCUUUAGAUUGGAAGAAUCUGAUGUGUGGUUUUUGUGGUGUGGCAGAGCGUGGUUUCAGGUUUGAACAGAGGACUUGUGGCGAGUGUAGAUGAUCUACAAAGAGCUGAGGCCGCUGCUAAACUACUUGAAGCCGCUGGUGGGCCUGUGGAUCUAACCAAUGAUCUUGACAAACUUCAAGGGAAGUGGAGGCUGCUGUAUAGCAGCGCCUUCUCUUCUCGCUCUUUGGGUGGUAGCCGUCCUGGACUCCCCACUGGUCGCUUGAUUCCCGUCACUCUUGGCCAGGUAUUAUGCUCUUUGAGUCUAUCAUCAUGAGCCAAGACUCUAGCUUUUUGUUUAUGUCACCUGCCUCGAGUAGAAAGCCAUGUUUUUUUAUUACUUAGGAGCUUUUGUGGAUUGCCUGAUCUAUCAUUAGUACUUUUGGUUGAAGCUUGAGUUCUGAUGAGCAAAGACUCUAGCUUUUUGGUAAUCUCACCUUCCUUGAGUAGAAAGAGAGUUUUUUUUUGUAAUACAUAUAGUCUCUAUUGAAAACUGUAGGUGUUUCAGAGGAUUGAUGUGUUUAGCAAAGAUUUCGAUAACAUUGCCGAAGUGGAGUUAGGAGCUCCUUGGCCGUUUCCUCCUCUGGAAGCCACUGCAACACUGGCACACAAAUUCGAACUCUUAGGUUUGUGUCUUCCUUCCUCUCUGGCUUUAUGUUUACUUGCAUUGUAUAUAGUAGAUUAGUGAUGUGUUAAGACUCUUGAUGGGAGAACAGGUACUUGCAAGAUCAAGAUCACAUUUGAGAAAACAACUGUGAAGACAUCGGGAAACUUAGCGCAGAUUCCUCCGUUUGAGAUCCCGAGGCUUCCCGAUAGUUUCAGGCCACCGUCUAACCCUGGAACUGGAGAUUUUGAAGUCACCUAUGUUGAUGAGAACAUGCGCAUAACUCGUGGGGAUAGAGGUGAACUUAGGGUCUUUGUCAUUGCUUAAGUCAAAAGGAGGUUUGACAUGUAAAGAUCAAGUACUUUCUGCUUGUUGCAGCAGCCUUAUGACCCCUAUGAGUUUUGUAC
Molecule: long non-coding RNA, 1594 nt
Filed under: Brassica napus (rape)
Lineage: Eukaryota; Viridiplantae; Streptophyta; Magnoliopsida; Brassicales; Brassicaceae
Description: long non-coding RNA (BNAP_LNC005817)
Source: RNAcentral